Molecule: long non-coding RNA, 418 nt
Filed under: Cricetulus griseus (Chinese hamster)
Lineage: Eukaryota; Metazoa; Chordata; Mammalia; Rodentia; Cricetidae
Description: lncRNA (ENSCGRG00000025905.1)
Source: RNAcentral
AAGAAGCCGGGGGGGGCCUGUCCUUCUCCUCCGCCGCCUGCUUCUUUUCCUCCCUUUUCCUUCGCUUCCUCCUCCCUCUUUUUUCUCCUCCUCUCCUUCCGCUCGUCGUGCCGGGCCUCCUCCUCUCCCCACCUUCCUCCUCCCACUCCCGCUUCCCUGCUCACACUUUCCUCUUUCUGGGAUGGAAGUUCUGUCCGGGAGGAACCAGGCACGGGUCCCCCGAUGCCACCUUCCUUAACAGGAGAGAUCGUGCCAGGACUUCAGAUGUGUCUAACAGUUCUCCUGAAUCUUCACCAUGAUAGCGAGCUUUCUAGCGCCGCCAGGUAAGCUCACCCAAUGCCACAGGCAGCAAAGAGCAGAGCUGAUAGCAAGGUGCAAGACCAGCUUCCCCACUCAUGCUGGCAAGGUCAGCCCUCCC